GAUGAACGCUAGCGGGAGGCCUAACACAUGCAAGCCGAGCGGUAGAGUUUCUUCGGAAACUUAAGAGCGGCGCACGGGUGCGUAACACGUGUGCAACCUACCUUUAUCUGGGGGAUAGCCUUUCGAAAGGAAGAUUAAUACCCCACGAUAUAAUGAUUGGCAUCAAUUAUUAUUGAAAACUCCGGUGGAUAGAGAUGGUCACGCGCAAGAUUAGAUAGUUGGUGAGGUAACGGCUCACCAAGUCAAUGAUCUUUAGGGGUCCUGAGAGGGAGAUCCCCCACACUGGUACUGAGACACGGACCAGACUCCUACGGGAGGCAGCAGUGAGGAAUAUUGGACAAUGGGUGAGAGCCUGAUCCAGCCAUCCCGCGUGAAGGAGGACGGCCCUAUGGAUUGUAAACUUCUGUUGUACAGGGAUAAACCUACCCUCGUGAGGGUAGCUGAAGGUACUGUACGAAUAAGCACCGGCUAACUCCGUG
RNAcentral lists this ribosomal RNA (479 nucleotides) under uncultured bacterium. RNAcentral describes it as "partial 16S ribosomal RNA". It matches the Rfam family "Bacterial small subunit ribosomal RNA", at positions 28 to 507 of the family's 1533-position model. The record is from RNAcentral.